This 193-nucleotide unclassified non-coding RNA is filed under the name uncultured Auriculariales. Its description in RNAcentral is "sequence contains ITS2". Lineage: Eukaryota; Fungi; Basidiomycota; Agaricomycetes; Auriculariales. The record is from RNAcentral.
AAACCCUCACCCUUGCGAUGUUAAAGUCGUCUUGUGGUGGAUUUGGAUCGUGCCGUAAUUGGCUCAUCCUUAAAUGCAUUAGCUUGCGCUUUUUACAGUGCUCGGCAUGGCAUAAUAAUUAUCUACGCCGUCGCCUUAGACCUGUUCUAAAUGUGCAGCUUCUAAUCGUCCCUUGUGGACAAUUUACUUAACG